Molecule: non-coding RNA, 298 nt
Organism: Pelobates cultripes (western spadefoot toad)
Lineage: Eukaryota; Metazoa; Chordata; Amphibia; Anura; Pelobatidae
Source: the annotation of a GenBank genome assembly
AGAAGAGCCGAGGAUUGGGUUGCGGCACAUUAAUACUGCAGCCUAGCCCACCAGGAAGGGGGGAAACAAAUAACACAACCCAAAGAGAAAUAAAUACACCAGAGCCCGUCAGGAUCAUCAGCUCAUUGGAACAUGCUGUAAGUGAGAGUAUGUGGGGCAGGCAGAGCCUGCAAAUGAAAAGGGAAUACACAGUAAUGGGGCAAGCAGAGCCUGCCAGGAAUGGGGCAAAUAAGGCCCAGUGUGCAGACAGAGCCUGCCAGAGAAAGGGAAAAAAACAGUAAUGGGGAAGGCAGACAGG